This 542-nucleotide ribosomal RNA is filed under the name uncultured Chitinophagaceae bacterium. RNAcentral describes it as "bacterial SSU rRNA". It matches the Rfam family "Bacterial small subunit ribosomal RNA", at positions 355 to 897 of the family's 1533-position model. Lineage: Bacteria; Pseudomonadati; Bacteroidota; Chitinophagia; Chitinophagales; Chitinophagaceae. The record is from RNAcentral.
UAAGGAAUAUUGGUCAAUGGACGCAAGUCUGAACCAGCCAUGCCGCGUGGAGGAUGAAGGCCCUCUGGGUUGUAAACUUCUUUUAUCUGGGAAGAAACCGGACUUUUCUAAGGCCGUUGACGGUACCAGAUGAAUAAGCACCGGCUAACUCCGUGCCAGCAGCCGCGGUAAUACGGAGGGUGCAAGCGUUAUCCGGAUUCACUGGGUUUAAAGGGUGCGUAGGUGGGCAGGUAAGUCAGUGGUGAAAUCUCUGGGCUUAACCCGGAAACUGCCGUUGAUACUAUCUGUCUUGAAUGUAGUGGAGGUGAGCGGAAUAUGUCAUGUAGCGGUGAAAUGCUUAGAUAUGACAUAGAACACCCAUUGCGAAGGCAGCUCGCUACACUAUUAUUGACACUGAGGCACGAAAGCGUGGGGAUCAAACAGGAUUAGAUACCCUGGUAGUCCACGCCCUAAACGAUGGAUACUCGACAUCAGCGAUACACGGUUGGUGUCUGAGCGAAAGCAUUAAGUAUCCCACCUGGGAAGUACGACCGCAAGGUUGA